Molecule: long non-coding RNA, 1327 nt
Organism: Drosophila mojavensis
Lineage: Eukaryota; Metazoa; Arthropoda; Insecta; Diptera; Drosophilidae
Exons: 2
Source: RefSeq, a predicted model, not a curated record
UGCUCAGUUGAUGUUGGUUCCUCGUGCCGUGUGGUUCGCAUUGUGGCAAUCAGUUCGCAGUGGACGCGUUCGAAAUUGAGCUGUGGGAAAAUCAACUUUUCAAGAAAUUAGCUAUGGAUAUGAACAAGCGAAUUGUCAACAUGGAUUCAAUUAACACAAAUAAACACAUGAAAAAGCAUAAUCAGUAAAAAAUACAGGAAAAAAACCGCAACAUAAAGAGCGCAUAAAUAUAUUUAUAAAGCGACAGCCCAAAAGCAAAAGUAAAAGCACAGUCAACUCUUUGACUCUUCAGCCGAAUUGUCAACUGUAAAAUCGAAAGAGAGCAACGAAAAGAGAGUGCGCGAGCGCACUUUGCUUUUGUUUACACGCCCAUUUGUGCGUUGAAGCAGUGAUUGCAACCAGAAGUGCACAAUAAAAGCAAAUAUUUACCCAAACUAAGCAAUAAAUCAAUUGAGCAAUUAAUUAAAUAACUUUUAACAGAAACGGUAAACUAUUAUUGAAGCGGCUUUACAGCAGCCGGAGGAAAUUCCAACAAAGAGUUUGCGCAUACAUAUACAAAGAGAGACAGAGCGAGUGAGAGAGAGCAAGCACAGUUGCUAUUGCACUGAGAGGGCGCAUACUGGCGGCUGGUCGAAAAUAUACGCACGAAGACAUACGAACACACACACUCAUACAAAUAUACGUCAACAAAUUUCGUUGAGUGCUCCAAAGUCGCGUGCUUAGCUCUGUUGGCGCUGUGCCGCUGCCUUCCAGAUAGAAAUUGAGUCUCUCGCGUGACACAACGUGCGUCCAAACGAGCGGAAAGUUUUCUUUAGUGUGUGCUCUCUGUGUUAAAGUUUGCUCUGUUUUUCUUUCUUUGCUUUUGGUUGCUCAUUCGCUUGAGUAGCAUUAGCAGCAGGCGCAGGCAGAGCAGCAUUUGAGUAAUCGCCGCCUCCCCAACGAAACCGCAGUCGGUCAUUGAAAGCUAAAAAAAAAAAUUGUUUUGUCUGUGUGGAAAUUGGCAUUGCUAACCGUGGUAAAGCUUAAGCGUCCAACUUACAAAGCAAAUAAACAUUUUAUAAAUAAACGUGCGCAAUAAAUAAACAAAAGCCAAACUUUUAAGUGCGAGUGUAAAAUAUCGAUUUUUGUGAACAGCAAACGCGUCGAUGACCUCGACGACGGUGACAGCCACGGCUACAACGGUAUAAAAGCAAAAGCUGUGUAAGCGAACAAGAGAGAGAGAGAGAGGCUAACAAGCUAACGCUUUUUGCCCAAAUCCAAUUGAGCCACGUUUUACAUAAUUGCCCAAGCGCAUAAAGCAACAACAAAGGCAACAACAACAAUAAGA